RNAcentral lists this ribosomal RNA (355 nucleotides) under Klebsiella quasipneumoniae subsp. similipneumoniae. Its description in RNAcentral is "bacterial SSU rRNA". It matches the Rfam family "Bacterial small subunit ribosomal RNA", at positions 771 to 1125 of the family's 1533-position model. The record is from RNAcentral. Lineage: Bacteria; Pseudomonadati; Pseudomonadota; Gammaproteobacteria; Enterobacterales; Enterobacteriaceae.
AACAGGAUUAGAUACCCUGGUAGUCCACGCCGUAAACGAUGUCGAUUUGGAGGUUGUGCCCUUGAGGCGUGGCUUCCGGAGCUAACGCGUUAAAUCGACCGCCUGGGGAGUACGGCCGCAAGGUUAAAACUCAAAUGAAUUGACGGGGGCCCGCACAAGCGGUGGAGCAUGUGGUUUAAUUCGAUGCAACGCGAAGAACCUUACCUGGUCUUGACAUCCACAGAACUUGCCAGAGAUGGCUUGGUGCCUUCGGGAACUGUGAGACAGGUGCUGCAUGGCUGUCGUCAGCUCGUGUUGUGAAAUGUUGGGUUAAGUCCCGCAACGAGCGCAACCCUUAUCCUUUGUUGCCAGCGGU